UACAGAGGGGGCAAGCGUUAUUCGGAAUUAUUGGGCGUAAAGGGCGCGUAGGCGGCCUGGCAAGUGGAAGGUGAAAUCCCUCGGCUUAACCGAGGAACUGCCCUCCAAACUGCUUGGCUUGAGUCCGGGAGAGGUGAGUGGAAUUCCUGGUGUAGCGGUGAAAUGCGCAGAUAUCAGGAAGAACACCCGUGGCGAAGGCGGCUCUCUGGGACGGUACUGACGCUGAGACGCGAAAGCGUGGGGAGCGAACAGG
Molecule: ribosomal RNA, 253 nt
Filed under: uncultured bacterium
Lineage: Bacteria
Description: partial 16S ribosomal RNA
Rfam family: Bacterial small subunit ribosomal RNA
Source: RNAcentral